GGAAAUACCCAGGGAAAACGGGGUAUUCCACCUCGACUGAAUAGCUCCGUUUGCGAAUUUGUUUAAAGUGAGUAUCUGGUUUCACGGUUUUUUUCUUUAAAUGCAAGGUCACUCCUCCCCAUCCUGCGCAACUCGGGGCUGCUUUGCUGUUCCCGGUGAUGCGGGUCGUGUUUCCUUGGAGUUUUGACCUGCAAAACCCAGGGAUACUUUUUAAUCGCUAUCCAGUGUACUGUAGAAUGCUCAGACAGCACUUGGGAUCGUGUGGUUUCUCCCCUCGUUUCUUACGGCGGGGCAGUGCCUCAGACACUGCUUUUGUCUUUGCACGGAACUGGCUCUAAGGAAUACACUCACCUACAGCCACAUUCCUUAGGCUGACUCGAGCAGUGGUUGUAUGUGAAGCUCAGCAAGAUUCCUGGGGUUAGACAGGUAUAAGUUUGCCAAAUUUUAGGGAUGAAACUUCGUGUCAGAAAAAUUUCCAUUAGUGCAGUCCCUCAUUCACGUACAGAGUGACCGAGUGAGUGACGUUGGAAGGGAACAAAGUGAGUCAUCUGGUCCAACCUCCCUGCUCAGGCAGGGUCAUCCCGGAGUACAUGGCACAGGAUUGUGUCCAGGUGGUUCUGGAAUAUCUCCAGUGAGGGGAACUCCACAACCUUACCUGCACAAUAAAGGAGUUCUUCCUCAUGUUCAGGUGGAACUUCCUAUGCACCAGUUUCUGCCCAUUACCUCUUAUUCUGUUACCUGGAACCACCAAGAAGAGCCUUGCUCUGCUUCUCCAGAAAUACAUGGAAAUUAUUUUGCUUGUCUUUAUCUAAAGAAAAUAUGCUUUAGCCAUUUCUGAAAGCAAGUGCAAACAAAGCAGCUCUGUGGGGUCGCUGGGUGGGUUUUACCCCACGAACAUCCCAUCUGUGACAUUGAGAAGUGUGUUUGCCUUUUUUCUUUAAGCAGAAGUUUCACACAUCUUGUUUGUGAGUCACCUUUUGGGCUGUGUGUCUCCUGAGGUUUGGUCAACGUAGUGGCCUUUUGGGGAAAGAAAAAAAGUCUGUGAGUCUACAUUUAAUGGUGAAGCUUGGUAAGAAAAUUCUUCCGAGACUCCAUUUGAACAAAGGCUGAGUGUGGCUGUUGGGGUAACCUCAACCCAUGGCUGGGGUGAGGUGCUGCAUCUAAUGAGGGGGAAUAUUGCCAAGAGAACAGAAACUGAACAAAAGGUUUGAAGUAAAAUAUCAAAGAGUUUCUCUUUCAAUGAGAACUGUCCCUUCUUGCUAUGUAUAAGGUAGAUCCUGAGGAAGAAGAAGCAUGUGGUGGUGUAAUCUAAGCUGUGCCAUCAUGCAAUGGAAUACAUUAAGGUGCCAAGUGAGAUAAUGAGCCAAAUCUAUUUUUAGUCCCAAAAAAGAGAGGAAGUAGCAAGCUUUAAAUGAUUUUUCUCCAUAUAGCUUUUAGGUCAUGCUAGAAAAUGCUGAUGGUUUCUCGUGAAUUCUGUGAAAGUCUGUUUGCAUUAAUCAAUAGAGCUGCCUUCUGAGAUGAUAGAUACUGAUUUCUUUUUAAACAUUUGUACAAGGUUGAAUAUACUAAAGUAUUUUUCAACCCAAGAAAAUAUCUCCAAGACAGCUUCAGUAGCUAUAGAAGCACAGAGGAUGUGAUGGAUGUAUUUUAAACCAGCUGACACACUGGUUGCCUCAAUAAAGGACACUUUGCCGGGUUCCUUUGGAACAAAAACAUUGUCUGGUAGAAAAUAGUCAAACAAUUCUGGAAUUUGCGUUGCUGUUUUCACUUUGAUAAAGUGUUUCAUUUUCUCUCCCUCUUGCCAAACCAGGCACCAAGAGACUCAUUCUGGGAAUAACUCCCAGGUGGGUUCCUGCCAGCUGAGGGAGCUGCUCCUGGGCCACUUUGCUCUUCCCAAAUGAACCAUCAUGAUGUGUGGGAGAGGGGGUGCCAGCAAAUAAACAGUGUUAAAUUAUUUAAACCUAUGGUGCUAACUAAUCUUGUGUAAAAAGUCUGAUUAUCUGCAUGUCUUUUACUUUCAAGUUGCAUGAUGAUGAUGAUGAAGAAUCUAUUUGCACUUUUCACUACUUUACCUUAAAGCAGGCUCUGCAUUCCUCCUGGGACAGAGCUUUGGAGAGGAAGAAUCUGUGUGAGGCAAAAUCUGGUCUUCAUGUUGAAAGACCAAAAGGAAUGGAGCGUUUUCACAGACUUAAAGCUGACAAAGGCGGGGACUAACCAAUGUAUUCUAAGGAUAUUGAUUUGUAAAUCCCUCUGAAAUGGGAAUGAAACUAAGCCUGGUUCUUCCUGUGGGUACAAAGCACCUGAAAAAUACUCCUCAAGUUUCCAUUUACUAGUUGGUAUGAUUCUGUAAGUGUCACAACCAAAAAUAUUUGUAGGAUCAGAAUGACUAUUAGUAGAAACAUGACCAUCCUUUUAUUUGGUUUAUUUUCUCACUCUAGCAGUCUUGUGGUAAACAAGUUUGCAGCGUUUUCCCAGAAAGUACAAUGAUCUGAUAUGUUUAGUUCUCUCUCAGAGGAUUUCUAGCCUUUGAUAUUUAUGAUGAAAAGUUAUGAUGAAAUUUUUCUAGCUUAGUAGCAGAUAUUUCUGCAACUGGCAUCCAUUCAGUUACAGGAAAAUACUUCUUAAAAUGAAAUAUCCACACAAGGAACACUAGAGGGAAAAUACAAUUUAUUUAAUUAGAUUUAUUUUGAUGCAUAGUCCACAAGCAUACCAAUGCAUUUCCAUUUGAUACGACUUUGCUUGUAAAAAUCUUGCAAAAUGCAAUGAUAUAAAUGGUGUGCAAGGUUUGAUUAAUUUGUUUUUUCUCAGACAGCUGAAUGCACAAGUUUUAUGAGCUAGUUAUAUAAAGAGAAAACCAAAUUGUGUUAGAAAGGAAUGAUUCCCUGAGGAGAAAGGAAAGAGGUGAGUCAUGUCAGUGCUGUUUUUCUCGAAUCAGCAGAAUAUUAAAACAACCUCAUUUUCAUUAGUCUGAAGCUGCACGUGACCUCUGAGCAGAACUGAUGUUUCUUUUCGUGGUGUUGUUUAGAAAAACGAAUCCAGGAUGCAUUUGGAUUGCCAAUAUCAGCCUUCAUGUUCAAAUUAUUCUGAUGGCCAAGGCACAAAUAGCCCUGCUAGGAGCAGUUUCUUAGAUGCAGCAACAGAAAGCACUUGUUCUGUUUGUGCUUGUGAGUCUUAACCUAGUUUUUGAGAUUUUUCCUGCCAGCUCGCUGUAGUUCAGAGUGCUCCCUGUAACAAUAAAGAGGAGCAUUCCCAUGUUCAAAAGGCUCUUGUCUCUAUUUAUUUUGUGGGUUUAAUUUUUUUUUUUUUUUUUUCCCCUCAGAUGCUUUCUUUGUAAAGAGGCCACGGGGCCUAUUUUGAGCCUGCGUUUGUCAGGACGAUACGUGCGUGUCACUGAGAAGAGACGAAAUGUCAGCCAGCACUCACAACUUCGGCACUACAAAGACCUGAAACGUCUCCUCCAAAGCACGGUGCUGUUCUACUAUGGCAAGCAAAUAAAAAAUGAAUAAGCAUCAGGCACUUGUUCGUUGGUGGCCUCGUGUGCACACUCACACUGAACGGGUGUGAUGCUCCCGCGCUGUUGUAGGAAGCGCUGCGUUCCACACUGGCUUUGGGUCACAACUCCAGUGCUUGCUCUGGCAUUUCACAGGGGAAGGAACAGGAGAGGAAGAGGUGGGGAAUAAUGGAAAGGAAGACCAUCAGAAUCACAGAAUGUGCUGAGUUGGAAGGGACCCACAAGGAUGAUCGAGUCCAGCUCUUAGCCCUGCACAGGAUCAUCCCCAAGAGUCACACCCUGGGCCCCAGAGGAUCAUCCUUCCUUGAGUUCUGUCGGCCUUGGUGCUGUGCCCACUGCCCCGGGGAGCCUGUUCAGUGCCCAACAACCCUCUGGGGAAGAAUCCUUUUCUAAUAUCCAUCUUAAGUUUGGAUAACUUGUACCCUUCUCAGAGCUGUCAUUUCUCUUUAUUAUGUAUUGCAUGCAAACAGUACAUUCUGAUUCAGAGCUCAUCUUGCUGCCAAUUCUGGAAUAAUUGUGACAUGUAAUUUUUUCAAAUUAACUCAAAUAGUGAAGAUCAUUCAGUUGUCAGCAGAAGUGGAAAGGGAAAAGUGUUCUGUGCUAAUUGGAUGAGAGCUGAGGAAUCUUUGAUGCAGUUGCAGGGCAAAAUUCUGAUUCAAUUCAUGUUGGCGUUUCAACAUUUACUUCAAUGGCAUUUUGUUAUCACCAUCAGUUUCAUUUCUUGGGUAACACAGGACUUCAGCUGCUGCUUCACACACUGACCAUGAUACACAAGAAAUUUGGCUGUUGGCAAGUUAAAAUACUCUAGGGGCCAGGGAAACGUGAAAUCAGUGACAGAGGUUCCUUCAGUAGCUCACAGUUUGCAGUUCCAGAGGACCUGAAAUCUAGUGAAGAUCAUAAUAUUCAGGAUUUAUGAGCAUCUCACAGAAGGUACAACUUCAUAUAACUGGGAGCUAACUUGGGCUUCAUUACACUGAAGGAAAUUUAGGAAGUCUAGAGUUGAUCAGCAGCUGAAGAAAAGAGGAUGAAAGACCAAAUUGAUUGGAACUCAGAAUAAACAAGGUCCAGGUUAGCAGAGCAAUAUCAUUUUUGAGACUGAAGUCAUGUAUCACAUGACUCCCCAAAAGUCAUGGUUCCAGUUCCCAUAUUAUUAUUAUUCCCUAAUAAAACUCUUAUUUAGUUUUAUAUUCAUCAGGGAUAGAGUAAUCUUUGGGAUGGUUACAUCCUCAUGUAGACAAAAUAUGUAUGUGCAGUAAGAUCACUGCUGUGGGGGCUGUGCUUCUGCUCUUUUACAGAUGCAGAAAGUCUUUUUGAGAAAUUAUUCUUCAGCAAAGACUGAGCUAACUUGUUUUUCUGUUGAAGUGUUAACUUUUUGGACAGUUGUGUCAUGGCAGCUCCUCACCUGCUGUAUUGCAGCUCAGGGUGCUGUUUCUUAAUGGUGCCAAUGCCAUCUUGCUGCAGGCUUUGGAAGGUCAGGCUGCUCAGCAGUUUAAUCCCAACUCACCUGAUGGACAGAGGCAGUGGUUGUUUCUCUGGGAUCAGUCCUACUGGUGAACUUUUAGCCUGAAAAGUUAGCCCAAGGCAGAAUCAGAUGGAUCUUCUGUUCCAUGACUCAAGGCUGGAGACUGACACUAUCAUUAGCAAAGUCAAAACAGUUUCAUCAUGGGCAUCUCUGUGCUAUUGUAAAAUGCACUUUGCUUCCAAACAGCAGUAAAUUGUCAUCAAAACACCUUCAGACUAUGCAGCUGGCAUCUCAUUGGAUCUCAUAUUUUGGAAUCAAACCCUUUAACAUCUUUAUCCAACAAGUACAAUAUCUGGCCUGGCACACUCUUCCAGUGAGGCCAAAAGUCUGAUGGUUUCUACAAAGAGUCCCACUGUUUUCACUUGCCCCUUAUAUGCGCUUCUCAUUUUUAUAUAAUUGUGUCUUUCUAGGGCUGGACACAAAAAAAUGCAUUGAAAAGGAAUUCCCAAGGACUGAUCCUUUAGUGCUAUUCCAGCCGAGGGUGUGGUUCUUCCCAAUGUUUGACACACAACUCUGGGGUUUGCAGUUUCACUUACAAGGAGGUGAAGAUUAGUCCUUUUGGCUGAAAGCUGGUGUUGAGUUGAUGUAGCUGUGUCAUGGAACUGCACCUUCAGUUUCUCCAUUGCAGAGAAAAAAAUGCAUUAUUGAAAAUCUGAGAUUCCUUUUAUGAAGCUUAUGUGUAGACUGAAUGUUUUUUGCUCAUUCUAACCCAAACACAGACUCUAUUUAAGGAGAGCCUGUGUUGGUUUGGUGCUGCCAUUUGGGUGAAUUCCUGGAGAAAAUGUCAAUGGAAGAUCCUAGAAGUCACACCUUUUAUAUCAAGGGGAAAGGAUGGCUGGAAUCCAUUGCCCCUCAGUGCCCCUGGCCUUGAGCCUGGCAGGUCUGAGGGUCAGUAAGAGCAGGACCAUUCCCAUGUCUUCUCCAUGGAAAGGAAUAGAUCCUUUGAGCACAAAUUCCAUGCCUGGCACUUUCAAAAUUUGCUGCUACAUUAAAAUAACCUUCUGCACUGAGUACACAUUAUGCAGCGUGAGUGUGACCAGCUGCAUUUCAUCCUGGUGAUUUGGUCCAAGUGGCACCUGGAUCCAGCAAUUAAGACUUCAUUCCAUGCCCCUGGGCACAUGAUACGUGUGUAAGGAAAAGAGAGGAGGAGGAAAUGAAACGAGUGUCCUGCAAAGAGAGCUUGAAAAUAUGGUGAAAAGGAACUCUGGAAAGAUCUGAUGAAAAGCCUAAGACAAAUAACUACCUGAGAGAGCUGGUGGCUCUGCUGACAGGAGGGCCUGGGUAGAGCAGGGCUUUUCCUGGGAUGGCCUGGAGCCUGCCAUCAGAUAUUCCCUUACAGCUCUGCUUCGGGGGAAGUUGAUGUGAGGGCCAACUAAACUGCACACAGAGCUUGGAAAAGACUUUGAGAGAUGAUCAGUGGAACACACAGAAUGCCUCGUGCAUGGGUAACAUCAGGAUAAAGGUGGGAAAUGGGAAGCAGCACUUGUACCUGCCUGGGAGAGCAAAGUCUGUCAUUGCACUGGACUUGUGUUUCAGUGGUGAGUGUCAUGAUUAUUCCUUAGGUUGGAUGAAAUAAACUCAUGAAAAACCCUUAGAAGGUACUUGGAAAAUAGAUGUAUUUUCAGUAAAGCUACAAACAGGAAACUAUCACUGGCCAGAUAAAAUAUCAAAAUUAAUAAACUCUUGGACUGCCUCAUCCCCAGAAGGACAAGGAUCACUUUCAGGUGCAGUUUUUUCACUCUCAGUCUUGCUGUUUCUCUGUGGAUUGUCAGUCCAGCAUUUCUUCUCAGCUUGGAGUUGGGAAUUCCUGCUGUCAAGCCCAGCUGAGUAGGUUGGGACUGAGCCUGAAGUUGCUGUUGCUAUUAAAGGUCUGAGGACUGUGGUCAAGCACUAGAUUUCAGAAACAAAGAGCUUGAUAAAAAGUUUGGACACAGGAGCAAAGUCUGAAGACCAUGAGCUGUGUUUGUUUGUGAUUUAACACAGAUAUUCUGACCACGACCUGUUGUCGCUGGUUCUUCAAGGUUUUGCACCGAAAGUUGCAUUCAACAAAUUUUUGAGAGCACAGUGUGUUUUUAUAAGAACUCUUAUUGUCUUCAGAAUUGCAGGAGGAUCAGAUAAGGGGAGAAACAUGAUUAUUUCCAAACAACAUAACAUCAUCAGCAUUUUCAAAGUACUUUAAAAUUUGUGGUUUUGUCUUUAAUUGUGCUGUUACUGUGCUUGCUCAUGAGUUGUGGGUGAUAACAUGUGAUUAUCAUCUGCCUACUUGAUCACAUGCACAUUUGUGAUGCUUGCAAGGGAAAACAUUAUCUGGCUGGUAACUGUCAUACUCUGCAGAGUUUAAGAGACUGUUUCCCAGACAACAGAGUAGUCAGAUUGCAUCCAGGAGCUGUGCCCCGCCGGGUACCUGCACCCAAGUCAAACACCUGGUGGCAGCUGCUGCUACCACUGAUGACACAGACGAGAUGCAAGUGUUUGAAGAGCCCGAAUCAACCUCCUGCCUGAGCUAUGGAAGUCAAAGAAACAAUCUAAACAAUUAAAUAAAAAAAAAAAAAAAAAGUCAAAAGCUGUGGUUCUAACAAGUCAAACAGCACAAGUCUUGAGUCAGCUUUUAAAUUGAAACCAGAUCAUUCAGUAGCCAAAAGGCAUUUAAGGGCCAUGUACUACCUGUUUAAGACCUCUGCUGCCAGGCAUAAAUCCAGGGGCAGCUGUACAAUGUGGUAAAUCAUCUCCCUGUGGCAAAUUGAGCACCUUAAAACAGAACAGCCCAGGGAGCAGGUGGAAGGGCCAACACUGGAAGCAACAAGAGAGCCUCUCCAAGAAAAAGUAAUUCCCUGGUCAAGAUGACGAGACCAUUCUCUCUUCAGCCAAAGAGUACUUUAAAUCCUUUUGGAAUAUGCAUCACCUCCUGUCAAGAGCUUCCUAAUUACCUUCUGUGGAUGCUACCCUAGGCUUUCCUCACUGCUUCCAUAAUUACAGGUUUACAGCAGGACACUUGCACUCUGAAUUGGUUUUCUGUCUGGAAAGCUCAGUUUGCCGUUACCUGAGACACUGGAUCUGCUUUAUUUAACUCACAUCCCUGAGAGCUAUGUGGUGUAAUUGUGCCUGUGGUGACAAGCAUCUGCAAAGAAAGGAAAAGCUGCUUCAUCACAGAGGAGGACUUGUGGAAAUUGAAGUCUAAAGGACUGUUCUUGAGCACGUGAAGCCCCAUGGACAGGGAGUGGAAUACACAGACAACACAUGUGAUCCAGCCCCCUCUCGUGGGUUUUUUCCACACAGAAGGUGCCCAUCAUGGUCCUCAGUGCUCAUCUUGGUAGUGCCUGAGACAGGACAGAAUUAACUGAAAGAAUAUUUUCUUUGAUUUCAAUUAUUAGAUAAUGUCAACAGAUAGGGAGAAAGAUACUGAAUUUAACUUGCAAGGCAUUAAAGAGCUGAUUCUGGAAGCACAGAAGAGGAGCUUUGCUAUCCAACAAAGUUCUUACAAGAAGUACAUUAAGGAACAAAAAGCCAAGCACGAACAGCCUCAGGUACUGAAUUUACAGUAUUUAAUGAAAGAGUGUUUAUAGAUGGGGCAGCCUGUAAGAGUUGUAUAAUGGAAGUCAUUGAAUAGGUUUGUCUGGAAAAGAAGACAUUGACAAUGUCAAUUCUCUGCCAGUUCCACUGCCAGACUGACGAAGGGAGUGGGAACUUGUUUUUCCAGCUCAAGAAAAGAGCUUCGAAUGGUUUUCAUUAGUACUGCCUGUGAAUACCAAUACUUCACACACAUAAAAACUUGGAUUUCAGAUCAAAGAACUGGUGAAGUGUUACUGCUGAAUGUCAGAAUAUGACAGGGGGAAAGUAUUUGACAAAAUACAAUUUUCUUAAGUGUAAGAAACAGUGAAGACCUCAGCUGUGAUGUGAAAACUGUGAAGUGUUGUGAUACCUGGAGCAGGGGAAGCAACCAGAGCCCAUAUGCUGCCUAUGGCAAGGGAGUACAGCAGGGAAGUGCAGAGCUUUCCCCACCUACUCUUCUCUGUCUCAGUCACCUCUGCACAAUUUGGUUCUGGGGACCCAUUAUGAACAGUACUUCUGACUUGCAUUCAUUUCACUCAGAAGUGCAGCUUGAAUCACUGCCAUUGUCACCAAAACCUUUCCAGGUUAGAAUUUAGUGAGUUUUUGUUCUGCAAAAAAGAUCUAGUUGAUCUCUGGAACAGGGCUUUGAACCAGGGUGGUGUUUGCUGUCCUGAGACACAAUAUCUGUGUUUUUCUUACAGAAAGCCAAAUCCCCAGUUGUGUGGGGCUGAGUGGGUUUGACAGUCUGGGCUUUUGGUACCUAUAAUGGAGUGCAGGAAUGAUCUGGACCUAAUGCUAGAGAUAAAGCAACUUUAGGGUUGGGAGUUAUUUCCUGAUACUUGUGCUUUUCAGACAAAAUGGUGGCUAUUUUAUGAGGCCAUUUCAGGAGGACAAGUCACGUCACCCUGCUGGCAAACACGGGUCUGGAAACACAAAAAACAUAACCCCUUGUUCUGCAAAUAAAUUCUUUGGGACCUCAGAGCACAUCCAGACACGAUUUCUAGAACCAUUUCAAGUAUUUUAGUCAUGCCAAAGAGGUUGCUCUGCCAAAAUCCAUAUGAAACAUCUGAUCACAAGGCCCAUUUCGUGCAUCGGUUGCCUUCAGAAGUUGUAAGCAAACAGCUCCUGAAAGACAUUUGGACUAAGGAAUCUCACCACGGGUUUCCACAGGGUUUUAUAUUCUUUUGUAGGUGUCCAUCAUGGUCCUCAGGGCUCAUCUUGGUAGUGCCUGGGACUGGACAGAAUUAACUGAAAGAAUAUUUUCUUUGAUUUCAAUUAUUAGAUAGAUAAUGUCAACAGAUAGGGAGAAAGAUAUUGAAUUUCACAGUAUUACAUUCUUGGUCAUAAAAAUGUACACAAUAUUCUCAAGAUGCAACAUCACCAAUGGAAAGAAUUGAAAUGUUUAGGAUGUGCCACUUUUUCCUCUGCAGUUACAAAUUUUCCUAAAAUCUGACUUUAUUAUUUAUAAUUUCGUUAUUCCUCUUACAAGUCAGGUUUAUAAGUCAUUCUACCCUUGAUAUCACUCAAACACAGAAACUUAACAAAACUCCUGUUUAAAUAACCUGAAGUUUCUGUGAGCAAGAACUGCUGAAAUCUAGCUCCUAAUCUGCACCAUAUGUUGGCAUGCUUCUUUCUUGGAGAUGACAUUUUGCUUUGCUUCCAGUAGAUAACAUUUCUUUUGUAGAAAGAAAAACAACCUGAUGAGAGGCUACAGGCAGCCUGAUGGAUCAGGGAUGCAUCUAUUUAAGGGUCACCAUCUUCCCCAACUGUUUGUCACACUCAGACCUCUCAAAAUGCUUUGCAUUUUUAACAUCCUUUGCCAAAUUUUCCAGUUGCAUAAACAGCUGGAUGGGUAUUAAGACUACAACGGAUUUAGAACUGAUCUUCCAGGAAUAACUCUGUACACUAUGGUAGAUCACCAGCAUGUUAAUGUUGAGGGAUGGUCCUGUGAGGUGAGGGAGUGAGGAAAAAUAACAUCAGUUGGUAUCUCAAAUAAAAAUUUAUUCUCUUAACAGCUCUCAUUUAACCAUUUGCU
This is a long non-coding RNA of Myiozetetes cayanensis, 10617 nucleotides long. RefSeq lists it as uncharacterized. NCBI's taxonomy places the organism in Eukaryota, Metazoa, Chordata, Aves, Passeriformes, Tyrannidae. The record is from RefSeq and is a predicted model, not a curated record. The transcript is spliced from 9 exons.